UACGUAGGGGGCUAGCGUUGUCCGGAAUCAUUGGGCGUAAAGAGCGCGUAGGCGGCCAGAUAAGUCCGGUGUGAAAGUCAAAGGCUCAACCUUUGAAUGCCGCUGGAAACUGUCUGGCUAGAGUCCGGGAGGGGCGAGUGGAAUUCCUGGUGUAGAGGUGAAAUUCGUAGAUAUUAGGAAGAACACCAGUGGCGAAGGCGGCUCACUGGCCCGGUACUGACGCUGAGGCGCGAAAGCGUGGGGAGCAAACAGG
This 253-nucleotide ribosomal RNA is filed under the name uncultured bacterium. RNAcentral's name for it is "partial 16S ribosomal RNA". It matches the Rfam family "Bacterial small subunit ribosomal RNA", at positions 524 to 776 of the family's 1533-position model. The record is from RNAcentral.